Molecule: non-coding RNA, 95 nt
Organism: Triticum urartu
Lineage: Eukaryota; Viridiplantae; Streptophyta; Magnoliopsida; Poales; Poaceae
Source: Rfam
GCUUGGAGAUGAGGAUCAUCAGAGGCUGUUUCUGAGGAUGUGCCUAGAGCUUGUCCUGUGUUGCACAUUGACUGAUUUGCCUAUCUGAUCCAAAG